GUCACUUGUUCAGCGCCUCACCCUCAAGCUCCAAUCUCAAGUUCAAACUCUACCUUUCGUUUCCUCAGUCUCUGUCAUGCACGGCUUAAUCUUGCUUAAUCUUAGUUGCAGUCUCUCUGGAUUCAUAUUCAGAAAUCUCCCUUAGGUCUUCACUCUGUAAGUGUCAUCUUCCUCUCCGCUUUGCUUUCUACAGCUUUUCUCCUUCUCCACAUCCUCUUGCAUAUGGUCGACUCGGGCUGUCGAAUCAAACACCAGUAAUAACGUUGCUACCUCUUAUAUAAAAUACACAUGAAGAAGAAUGCAAAACUCUAACACAAUUCAAAUAGUUGAAGAAUGAUAAACUUUUCGGCUCACCUGAUCCCAGGGGAGAAGCGACCCAGGUUCUUUUUUCAUUUUUACCUUUUGUCAACCUAUCCAUAUAUACUUAUAUCAAUCUUCAUGAUUCUGCUUUUGUUUCUCUUCAGCUGAUAAUAAGGAAAAAGAAAGAGCGAGUUUGAAAAGUCAGACACUGUUGUACUGUUGCUGUCGUAUUCAUGAUUCUAUUUUGAAUUUUUAUCUGGAUGACUAUGGGGAACCGGAAAGUGAAAAAUUUGAUAAAUAGGCAGAUCAUGAUACGGUGUGGUAUGGGGGAUCGGGAUGGUGGUGUCGUGCAUCUCAUGUGAGGUUAAGGAAUAAAAAGCGCAAGAGAACUAGGCUGAGAGAACCUUAUUAUUUAGCCCACUUUUGUUUCCAGAAAUUAAAUCUCAAGCUUUGAACUUUGCCUCUAGCCUAUUCGUCAUUUAAUAAGGUGCUGCUAUGUAUAACUUGAUGAAGAUCAUGUUAUUUUAAUAAUCAGUUUGGUGUUUUUUUUCCCCAACCAUGUACUGUAAUUGAAUUAUUAUUAUUAUUAUUUUUACAGAUACGAUGAAUAGUUAAUGAAACGAAGAAUACUUCAAUCAUAGUUUCUUUUUUGGUUUGAUCUUAAGAUUCCAUUUAUCAGUGAGAAAAUGGUCAGGUUUCGAGAUCAUGGGAGAACAAAAGGGAAAGAGAAACCAGAGUUCUUUCGAUCUAAGUACAGAUAUUCGUCCUGUUUGUUUUGUGGGUCAAAGUAACAUCAGUUAGAAGCAUCAUUUGGUUCAGAAAAAUAGUUGUAUGGGCUUGGCCACUUUAAGCUGGGUUUCCUAUUGACUUACAAAACAUAUGCAAGCUUGAUCAUUUGUACCUGCCUCCCUGGGGUCUUGGAACUAACACACUUACGCUUGAACAAGAAGGUAAGUACCUUCAUUUGUAUAAAUUAUUCAAAGUUCUAAACGAGCUUACACUUAAUUGCAGCCAAGGUGUAUCACAAAGACCUUAAACCCAAGAAUAUAUUGGCAAAUGCAAAUUGCAAACUCAAAGUUUGUGAUUUUGGACCGGUCAGAGUUAUAUUCAAUGAUGCCCCGACAACAAUAUUUUGGACAGUCCAGUGGUAGUUGCUUGGUCAUCGCUUUGGAAAUGCUAAUGGGAUGGCUCCUCGUUCACAGAAGGAGUUAGAACUGAGUCGAAAGACAAGAAGUUCGAUCUAUUUAAGCUCCUGUUCAACCACUUGAGCAACCAUUCUAUUGGAUUUCUAGUGACUGGCUUCGCAACAUUAGUCCAAGUGCUCUUGACAAUGCAUCCAUUCAAUGCUCACACGGCAAAGUUCCUGUAUCCAACGUUAAUUCAAUGAAGCAAUUGUCUGAUAAAGCCUGGGAUAAAUUGUUUUCGAAGGCACUUUAUGUUAAAUUAUCUGUCAUGUGCUUGGAUAGAUGCUCUCCUUAUUAAUGUAUCAAUUAUGAUGCCUUUGUCUUAUUCAUGUGUUUGAAUUAUAUACAGAUGUAUACGCACAAUUGGUUCAGUAUGAGACCAAAGGGCUAAGGAAAUGAAGAACUUGCAUGAGCAAGUUCGUACAUGAAUAUAGAAGUAGAACUUGUGAUACAAAACUAAACAUGA
Prosopis cineraria is the source of this 1950-nucleotide RNA transcript. RefSeq lists it as uncharacterized. The record is from RefSeq and is a predicted model, not a curated record. Lineage: Eukaryota; Viridiplantae; Streptophyta; Magnoliopsida; Fabales; Fabaceae. The transcript has 4 exons.